Acipenser ruthenus (sterlet) is the source of this 411-nucleotide long non-coding RNA. RefSeq lists it as uncharacterized. NCBI's taxonomy places the organism in Eukaryota, Metazoa, Chordata, Actinopteri, Acipenseriformes, Acipenseridae. The transcript has 2 exons. The record is from RefSeq and is a predicted model, not a curated record.
GGUUCUUAUUGGCUGAUCUCUUCAGACCAGGGAGGCGGCAGCAUGGAGCAUGACGGAGGACGUUUCAGAGGAGAGAGCACAUAAUGACUCCUUUAUGCCUGAUGUACGAUGAUGUCCUAAUAUGGACACCGUAGCAGCAUGCUAUUUCCCAUAUUACAACUAUUGACUGAUGAACUCGUGCCUGAAGCUAUUCCAGCCAGAACCUUGGACACAACUUAUUCACUGAUCCACCCUGGUCUGAAGGAGCUCUGCACUACACCUCCCUGAACACAUAAAGAGACGACCAUUAAGUACGUGGAGGGGCGCUUGCACACUGCUGGAGCAGUGUUUGUGUGUAGAACUGUUUUUGUGUUUGAACUGUUUAUUCUGCCCUGUGUUAAUAAUAAAGUACCCAUAUAAGGGUUUGGACUA